RNAcentral lists this ribosomal RNA (1470 nucleotides) under metagenome. RNAcentral's name for it is "bacterial SSU rRNA". It matches the Rfam family "Bacterial small subunit ribosomal RNA". The record is from RNAcentral.
AGAGUUUGAUCCUGGCUCAGAACGAACGCUGGCGGUAUGCUUAACACAUGCAAGUCGAACGCGAAAGUUUCUUCGGAAGCGAGUAGAGUGGCGCACGGGUGAGUAACACGUAGAUAACCUGCCCUUCAGUCCGGGACAACCUUCUGAAAAGGGGGCUAAUACUGGAUAAUACUUAUAGACGAGUGUUUUUAAGUUAAAAGAUUUAUUGCUGGGGGAUGGGUCUGCGCACCAUUAGCUAGUUGGGGGGGUAACGGCCCACCAAGGCUACGAUGGUUAGCGGGUCUGAGAGGAUGGUCCGCCACACUGGAACUGAGACACGGUCCAGACUCCUACGGGAGGCAGCAGUGGGGAAUUUUGCGCAAUGGGCGUAAGCCUGACGCAGCAAUACCGCGUGAGUGAAGAAGGCCUUUGGGUCGUAAAGCUCUUUUUUCAGGGAAGAUAAUGACGGUACCUGAAGAAUAAGCGCCGGCUAACUCCGUGCCAGCAGCCGCGGUAAUACGGAGGGCGCGAGCGUUGUUCGGAUUUACUGGGCGUAAAGGGCGCGUAGGCGGCAUAACAAGCUAAGGGUGAAAUCCCGGGGCUCAACUCCGGAACUGUUCUUAGGACUGUUAAGCUAGAGAUAGUUAGAGGCGGGUGGAAUUCCUGGUGUAGAGGUGAAAUUCGUAGAUAUCAGGAGGAACACCGGAGGCGAAGGCGACCCGCUGGGACUAUUCUGACGCUGAUGCGCGAAAGCGUGGGGAGCGAACGGGAUUAGAUACCCCGGUAGUCCACGCCGUAAACGAUGAAUACCGGCUGUUUGGGAAAUCGACCUUCCAAGUGGCGCAGCUAACGCGAUGAGUAUUCCGCCUGUGAUUACGGUCGCAAGACUAAAACUCAAAGGAAUUGACGGGGGCCCGCACAAGCGGUGGAGCAUGUGGUUUAAUUCGACGCAACGCGAAGAACCUUACCUGGGUUUGACAUCCCCUGCUAGUCACAGAGAUGUGAUUUUCUCUUCGGAGACAGGGUGACAGGUGCUGCAUGGCUGUCGUCAGCUCGUGUCGUGAGAUGUUGGGUUAAGUCCCGCAACGAGCGCAACCCUUGUCCUUAGUUGCCAGCGAUUCGGUCGGGAACUCUAAGGAGACUGCCGGUGUUAAGCCGGAGGAAGGUGGGGAUGACGUCAAGUCCUCAUGGCCUUUAUAUCCAGGGCUACACACGUGCUACAAUGGUGACUACAAAGAGUCGCGAAGCCGCGAGGUGGAGCUAAUCUCAAAAAAGUCAUCUCAGUUCGGAUUGCAAUCUGCAACUCGGUUGCAUGAAGUUGGAAUCGCUAGUAAUCGUAGAUCAGCGCGCUACGGUGAAUACGUUCCCGGGCCUUGUACACACCGCCCGUCACACCAUGGGAGUUGACAUUAGCAGAAUACAUUGAGCUAACUUUCGAGAGGCAGGUGUAGAAGCUAGUGUUGAUGACUGGGGUGAAGUCGUAACAAGGUA